UUGGUGCCUUCGGGAACUCUGAGACAGGUGCUGCAUGGCUGUCGUCAGCUCGUGUUGUGAAAUGUUGGGUUAAGUCCCGCAACGAGCGCAACCCUUAUCCUUUGUUGCCAGCGGUUAGGCCGGGAACUCAAAGGAGACUGCCAGUGAUAAACUGGAGGAAGGUGGGGAUGACGUCAAGUCAUCAUGGCCCUUACGAGUAGGGCUACACACGUGCUACAAUGGCGCAUACAAAGAGAAGCGACCUCGCGAGAGCAAGCGGACCUCAUAAAGUGCGUCGUAGUCCGGAUUGGAGUCUGCAACUCGACUCCAUGAAGUCGGAAUCGCUAGUAAUCGUAGAUCAGAAUGCUACGGUGAAUACGUUCCCGGGCCUUGUACACACCGCCCGUCACACCAUGGGAGUGGGUUGCAAAAGAAGUAGGUAGCUUAACCUUCGGGAGGGCGCUUACCACUUUGUGAUUCAUGACUGGGGUGAAGUCGUAACAAGGUAACCGUAGGGGAACCUGCGGUUGGAUCACCUCCUUA
This 522-nucleotide ribosomal RNA is filed under the name Acinetobacter pittii. RNAcentral's name for it is "partial 16S ribosomal RNA". It matches the Rfam family "Bacterial small subunit ribosomal RNA", at positions 1011 to 1533 of the family's 1533-position model. RNAcentral also lists the same sequence under 11 other names. Lineage: Bacteria; Pseudomonadati; Pseudomonadota; Gammaproteobacteria; Moraxellales; Moraxellaceae. The record is from RNAcentral.